Molecule: ribosomal RNA, 253 nt
Filed under: uncultured bacterium
Lineage: Bacteria
Description: partial 16S ribosomal RNA
Rfam family: Bacterial small subunit ribosomal RNA
Source: RNAcentral
UACGGGGGGGGCAAGCGUUGUUCGGAAUUACUGGGCGUAAAGGGUGCGUAGGCGGGCAGGUAAGUCAGUGGUGAAAUCUUUGGGCUUAACCCGAAAACUGCCAUUGAUACUAUCUGUCUUGAAUAUUGUGGAGGUGAGCGGAAUAUGUCAUGUAGCGGUGAAAUGCUUAGAUAUGACAUAGAACACCCAUUGCGAAGGCAGCUCACUACGCAUAUAUUGACGCUGAUGCACGAAAGCGUGGGGAUCAAACAGG